GGGUUGUGAGGUUAAGCGACUAAGCGUACACGGUGGAUGCCCUGGCAGUCAGAGGCGAUGAAGGACGUGCUAAUCUGCGAUAAGCGUCGGUAAGGUGAUAUGAACCGUUAUAACCGGCGAUUUCCGAAUGGGGAAACCCAGUGUGUUUCGACACACUAUCAUUAACUGAAUCCAUAGGUUAAUGAGGCGAACCGGGGGAACUGAAACAUCUAAGUACCCCGAGGAAAAGAAAUCAACCGAGAUUCCCCCAGUAGCGGCGAGCGAACGGGGAGCAGCCCAGAGCCUGAAUCAGUGUGUGUGUUAGUGGAAGCGUCUGGAAAGGCGCGCGAUACAGGGUGACAGCCCCGUACACAAAAAUGCACAUGCUGUGAGCUCGAUGAGUAGGGCGGGACACGUGGUAUCCUGUCUGAAUAUGGGGGGACCAUCCUCCAAGGCUAAAUACUCCUGACUGACCGAUAGUGAACCAGUACCGUGAGGGAAAGGCGAAAAGAACCCCGGCGAGGGGAGUGAAAAAGAACCUGAAACCGUGUACGUACAAGCAGUGGGAGCCUCUUUAUGGGGUGACUGCGUACCUUUUGUAUAAUGGGUCAGCGACUUAUAUUCUGUAGCAAGGUUAACCGAAUAGGGGAGCCGAAGGGAAACCGAGUCUUAACUGGGCGUUAAGUUGCAGGGUAUAGACCCGAAACCCGGUGAUCUAGCCAUGGGCAGGUUGAAGGUUGGGUAACACUAACUGGAGGACCGAACCGACUAAUGUUGAAAAAUUAGCGGAUGACUUGUGGCUGGGGGUGAAAGGCCAAUCAAACCGGGAGAUAGCUGGUUCUCCCCGAAAGCUAUUUAGGUAGCGCCUCGUGAAUUCAUCUCCGGGGGUAGAGCACUGUUUCGGCAAGGGGGUCAUCCCGACUUACCAACCCGAUGCAAACUGCGAAUACCGGAGAAUGUUAUCACGGGAGACACACGGCGGGUGCUAACGUCCGUCGUGAAGAGGGAAACAACCCAGACCGCCAGCUAAGGUCCCAAAGUCAUGGUUAAGUGGGAAACGAUGUGGGAAGGCCCAGACAGCCAGGAUGUUGGCUUAGAAGCAGCCAUCAUUUAAAGAAAGCGUAAUAGCUCACUGGUCGAGUCGGCCUGCGCGGAAGAUGUAACGGGGCUAAACCAUGCACCGAAGCUGCGGCAGCGACGCUUAUGCGUUGUUGGGUAGGGGAGCGUUCUGUAAGCCUGUGAAGGUGUGCUGUGAGGCAUGCUGGAGGUAUCAGAAGUGCGAAUGCUGACAUAAGUAACGAUAAAGCGGGUGAAAAGCCCGCUCGCCGGAAGACCAAGGGUUCCUGUCCAACGUUAAUCGGGGCAGGGUGAGUCGACCCCUAAGGCGAGGCCGAAAGGCGUAGUCGAUGGGAAACAGGUUAAUAUUCCUGUACUUGGUGUUACUGCGAAGGGGGGACGGAGAAGGCUAUGUUGGCCGGGCGACGGUUGUCCCGGUUUAAGCGUGUAGGCUGAUUUUCCAGGCAAAUCCGGAAAAUCAAGGCUGAGGCGUGAUGACGAGGCACUACGGUGCUGAAGCAACAAAUGCCCUGCUUCCAGGAAAAGCCUCUAAGCAUCAGGUAACAUCAAAUCGUACCCCAAACCGACACAGGUGGUCAGGUAGAGAAUACCAAGGCGCUUGAGAGAACUCGGGUGAAGGAACUAGGCAAAAUGGUGCCGUAACUUCGGGAGAAGGCACGCUGAUAUGUAGGUGAAGUCCCUCGCGGAUGGAGCUGAAAUCAGUCGAAGAUACCAGCUGGCUGCAACUGUUUAUUAAAAACACAGCACUGUGCAAACACGAAAGUGGACGUAUACGGUGUGACGCCUGCCCGGUGCCGGAAGGUUAAUUGAUGGGGUCAGCGCAAGCGAAGCUCUUGAUCGAAGCCCCGGUAAACGGCGGCCGUAACUAUAACGGUCCUAAGGUAGCGAAAUUCCUUGUCGGGUAAGUUCCGACCUGCACGAAUGGCGUAAUGAUGGCCAGGCUGUCUCCACCCGAGACUCAGUGAAAUUGAACUCGCUGUGAAGAUGCAGUGUACCCGCGGCAAGACGGAAAGACCCCGUGAACCUUUACUAUAGCUUGACACUGAACAUUGAGCCUUGAUGUGUAGGAUAGGUGGGAGGCUUAGAAGUGUGGACGCCAGUCUGCAUGGAGCCGGCCUUGAAAUACCACCCUUUAAUGUUUGAUGUUCUAACGUGGACCCGUAAUCCGGGUUGCGGACAGUGUCUGGUGGGUAGUUUGACUGGGGCGGUCUCCUCCUAAAGAGUAACGGAGGAGCACGAAGGUUGGCUAAUCCUGGUCGGACAUCAGGAGGUUAGUGCAAUGGCAUAAGCCAGCUUGACUGCGAGCGUGACGGCGCGAGCAGGUGCGAAAGCAGGUCAUAGUGAUCCGGUGGUUCUGAAUGGAAGGGCCAUCGCUCAACGGAUAAAAGGUACUCCGGGGAUAACAGGCUGAUACCGCCCAAGAGUUCAUAUCGACGGCGGUGUUUGGCACCUCGAUGUCGGCUCAUCACAUCCUGGGGCUGAAGUAGGUCCCAAGGGUAUGGCUGUUCGCCAUUUAAAGUGGUACGCGAGCUGGGUUUAGAACGUCGUGAGACAGUUCGGUCCCUAUCUGCCGUGGGCGCUGGAGAACUGAGGGGGGCUGCUCCUAGUACGAGAGGACCGGAGUGGACGCAUCACUGGUGUUCGGGUUGUCAUGCCAAUGGCACUGCCCGGUAGCUAAAUGCGGAAGAGAUAAGUGCUGAAAGCAUCUAAGCACGAAACUUGCCCCGAGAUGAGUUCUCCCUGACUCCUUGAGAGUCCUGAAGGAACGUUGAAGACGACGACGUUGAUAGGCCGGGUGUGUAAGCGCAGCGAUGCGUUGAGCUAACCGGUACUAAUGAACCGUGAGGCUUAACCUUACAACGCCGAAG
Molecule: ribosomal RNA, 2924 nt
Filed under: Shigella dysenteriae
Lineage: Bacteria; Pseudomonadati; Pseudomonadota; Gammaproteobacteria; Enterobacterales; Enterobacteriaceae
Description: bacterial LSU rRNA
Rfam family: Bacterial large subunit ribosomal RNA
Source: RNAcentral